GACGAACGCUGGCGGCGUGCUUAACACAUGCAAGUCGAACGGAAAGGCCCUGCUUUUGUGGGGUGCUCGAGUGGCGAACGGGUGAGUAACACGUGAGUAACCUGCCCUUGACUUUGGGAUAACUUCAGGAAACUGGGGCUAAUACCGGAUAGGAGCUCCUGCUGCAUGGUGGGGGUUGGAAAGUUUCGGCGGUUGGGGAUGGACUCGCGGCUUAUCAGCUUGUUGGUGGGGUAGUGGCUUACCAAGGCUUGGACGGGUAGCCGGCCUGAGCGGGUGACCGGCCACAUUGGGCCUGAGAUACGGCACAGCCUAGUACGGGAGGCAGCAGUGGGGAAUGUUGUACAAUGGGCGGAAGCCUGAUGUAGCAACGCCGCGUGCGGGAUGACGGCCUUCGGGUUGUAAACCGCUUUCGCCUGUGACGAAGCGUGAGUGACGGUAAUGGGUAAAGAAGCACCGGCUAACUACGUG
Molecule: ribosomal RNA, 468 nt
Filed under: uncultured bacterium
Lineage: Bacteria
Description: partial 16S ribosomal RNA
Rfam family: Bacterial small subunit ribosomal RNA
Source: RNAcentral